Molecule: ribosomal RNA, 407 nt
Filed under: uncultured bacterium
Lineage: Bacteria
Description: partial 16S ribosomal RNA
Rfam family: Bacterial small subunit ribosomal RNA
Source: RNAcentral
AUUGAACGCUGGCGGCAGGCCUAACACAUGCAAGUCGAGCGGAGCGGCGGACGGGUGAGGAAUACAUAGGAAUCUGACUGGUAGUGGGGGAUAACGUCCAGAAACGGGCGCUAAUACCGCAUACUAUCAGAUUAGCCUAGGUCGGAUUAGCUAGUUGUGGGGGUAAAGGCCUACCAAGGCGACGAUCCGUAACUGGUCUGAGAGGAUGAUCAGUCACACUGGAACUGAGACACGGUCCAGACUCCUACGGGAGGCAGCAGUGGGGAAUAUUGGACAAUGGGCGAAAGCCUGAUCCAGCCAUGCCGCGUGUGUGAAGAAGGUCUUCGGGUUGUAAAGCACUUUAAGUUGGGAGGCGUUACCAACAGAAUAAGCACCGGCUAACUUCGUGCCAGCAGCCGCGGUAAUUC